AGAAACAACAAAUAAUAGAGCAGAUUUUGAUGAAGCUAAUGUAUUUAUUGUAAAUAUUUUGAAAUGGAAAGAGUUGAGUUAAGAUAAGAACAUAAAAAGAGAAGAGAGAGGCAUGAUGAGUGGUUGUCCAUGCCAGUAGAAGCUAGGGGGGAUGAACUUCAUCACUACUAAAUCAAGGUCCACACCCCUCGAUCGUGAACCCCAUCAUGUUGGGUAAUAUGAACUUCACCAACUCAUGGCCCACACCCCUCCCUAAUGUGGGUCCUGCGUCACAUAUACACAACCCACAACUCCAAGG
This 298-nucleotide long non-coding RNA is filed under the name Glycine max (soybean). RNAcentral describes it as "long non-coding RNA (GMAX_LNC000137)". The record is from RNAcentral. Lineage: Eukaryota; Viridiplantae; Streptophyta; Magnoliopsida; Fabales; Fabaceae.